RNAcentral lists this ribosomal RNA (441 nucleotides) under uncultured bacterium. Its description in RNAcentral is "partial 16S ribosomal RNA". It matches the Rfam family "Bacterial small subunit ribosomal RNA", at positions 338 to 795 of the family's 1533-position model. The record is from RNAcentral.
CCUACGGGAGGCAGCAGUGGGGAAUAUUGCACAAUGGGGGAAACCCUGAUGCAGCAACGCCGCGUGAGGGAGGGAGUAUUUCGGGAUGUAAAGCUCUAUCAGCAGGGAAUAGAAAAGAAGGUACCUGAAAAAGAAGCCCCGGCGAACUACGUGCCAGCAGCCGCGGUAAUACGUAGGGGGCAAGCGUUAUCCGGAUUUACUGGGUGAAAAGGGAGCGUAGGCGGCAAGGCAAGUCAGAAGUGAAAGCCCAAGGCUCAACCAUGGUACUGCUUUUGAAACUGUCAAAUUAGAGUACGGGAGACGUAAGAGGAAUGCCUAGUGUAGCGGUGAAAUGCGUAGAUAUUAGGAGGAACACCAGUGGCGAAGGCGUCUUACUGGACCGCAACUGACGUUGAGGCUCGAAAGCGUGGGUAGCAAACAGGAUUAGAUACCCUGGUAGUC